RNAcentral lists this ribosomal RNA (252 nucleotides) under uncultured bacterium. RNAcentral's name for it is "partial 16S ribosomal RNA". It matches the Rfam family "Bacterial small subunit ribosomal RNA", at positions 524 to 776 of the family's 1533-position model. The record is from RNAcentral.
CACGUAGGGUGCGAGCGUUGUCCGGAAUUAUUGGGCGUAAAGAGCUCGUAGGCGGUGUGUCGCGUCGGCCGUGAAACCUGCAGCUUAACUGUGGGCUUGCGGUCGAUACGGGGCAUCACUGGAGUUCGGCAGGGGAGACUGGAAUUCUGGUGUAGCGGUGAAAUGCGCAGAUAUCAGGAGGAACACCCGGUGGCGAAGGCGGGUCUCUGGGCCGAUACUGACGCUGAGGAGCGAAGCGUGGGAGCGAACAGG